GAUGAACGCUAGCGGCAGGCCUAAUACAUGCAAGUCGUACGGCAACACAGUUGCGGGCAAUCGCAACCGGUGGCGAGUGGCGCACGGGUGAGUAACGCGUAUGUAACCUACCCUUCUCCGGGACAUAACUCCGCGAAAGCGGUGCUAAUAUCCCAUACCAACUCAUCAAGACAUCUUCUUGAGUUGAAAGCAGCAAUGCGGUGAAGGAUGGGCAUGCGUCCCAUUAGCUGGUUGGUGAGGUAAUGGCCCACCAAGGCUACGAUGGGUAGGGGUUCUGAGAGGAAAGCCCCCCACACUGGUACUGAGACACGGACCAGACUCCUACGGGAGGCAGCAGUAAGGAAUACUGGGCAAUGGUCGAAAGACUGACCCAGCCAUGCCGCGUGCAGGAUGAAGGCCCUAUGGGUUGUAAACUGCUUUUAGCCGGGAAUAAACACCCGUUUUAAACGGGCCCGAAGGUACCGGCUGAAUAAGCAUCGGCUAACUCCGUGCCAGCAGCCG
Molecule: ribosomal RNA, 501 nt
Filed under: uncultured bacterium
Lineage: Bacteria
Description: bacterial SSU rRNA
Rfam family: Bacterial small subunit ribosomal RNA
Source: RNAcentral